This is a long non-coding RNA of Homo sapiens (human), 1642 nucleotides long. Lineage: Eukaryota; Metazoa; Chordata; Mammalia; Primates; Hominidae. The record is from Ensembl.
AAGGACAUCAACGGAGGGCAGAAGGCCAUGUGAAGACAAAGCGGACACUAGAGUGAAUCUGCUGAGAAGAGAAGAUUGGCCUCAGACACUUCCGUCUUCAGACCUGUGCCUCUCCUUUGAGGAUCCCUUCCCCGAAGCUGCCAAGGAGAACCUUCCCUCACAUUGUUCCUCCUUUGUUCCCCGCUCUCCUUUUCCAGGCUGAGAGACCUGGGGCCUUGGAAGCAAGCACACGCUGGCUGAGCUGUGAUUCCUCCAUGUUGAUUAUAAUUUUUAUCACAUUAUAUGGGAUCCCUCUGGUGGUUACUAGGGGAUACGUCAGUUUUGAGAGAUUGGAACCUAACCAAAGAAGCUUCAAAUCUAGAGGAUAAGGGGACUCAGAGUUUACAAGUCACAGCAAGCAGAUGCUGGUCUGCUUUAGGUGCCUCUUACGGGGAUUGUGAGAGGGCUCCUGGGGCCUGAGGAGGGUCUUCUGAGGUGUGAAAGGCUGUACUGGUGGUCCCUGAAAGCCAUCGUCAUUUGUGUGAGGAGGAGUACUGGAGGAGCUGUCUUACCACAUGAAAAACAGCAUGGAGCAUCCCAGCCACAUCAAAGGCACGGUUUGAGCCUUGGGCUGUAGAGGCUCAGAGAGAGUGACAAAUAAGACCCUGGUGAGAGACCAAUGGGGACAGUAUUUCCAGACUUUGGCAUGAAACAGAUUUCUGAGCACCUCAUGAAAUGUCUGCAAGGGCAGCUCCUCAGAGUGACCCUCCCAAAUCAAUCAAAGCUGGCCCCCUAUCUUAAUUAUGACUUACAAAUAGAAGCAUGCACCUGGCUGGAUGCAGUUUGCCACAUGGUUUACAAUAGCGGUAGAAUAAGAAAUAACUUACCAAACGAGUACAUUUUCUUGGCUGGCUGGGGCACUCAGAGUUGACACUGGUAAGGCUCCAUUAAAAUGCCUUUAUGUUCUGAUAUACACAGAUGUGUUAAUUUAUAGCAUAUUCAUCAGAAGACAUAAAUUAAUUGCUCUCUGAUGAAUUUUAUAACACCUCCUUUAUGCCUCUCCACCCUCCCCCUCCAAAGUACACUGAAAAGGUCAACAGCACUAUCGAAUGCAGCACACUUCAACUUCCUUCCAAGCUUAUAAUUAAAGCUAAUUAGUAGCUUUGGUAAUUAGCGCAUGUAAGCUUUCUGCUUUCUGAAUUAAUAAGACUGAGUCAGGUUUUGAGCCAAGUAGACUUUUCACUCACUGGUUCUGAUUCUUGAACUGUGUUUGGCUGGUUAAUUUAAAACAUGUCUGUUGAAAGUGGAAUACUAGAAAGAAAACAUACUUGUGAUGGUCUGCUCUCAAGCCAGUGUGAUUUAUGAACAGGCCAAAGUGGAACUGUUGUCACAAGAGAAAAUCAGAAUGCUCUGGGUUUCCAAUAACUGACCAGUCUCAACCUCUCAGUGUGAAAUGAGUUGUGCCCAGUUACUAUGUCACAUGGACACAACACAACGUCAAGGAUGCCCUUGCACACUUAUGUCACCCUCUCAUAACACAUCUGUACUAAGCACAUCAAAUCCUCUUUAUUUUAGGAGAAUGCAGAGGCAAUGGCAGUGGGGUGCCAAGAUAUAACUAACUGCUCAUUUUGAUUCAAAUAAAAAUCAAAGAGGAGAAAAAUCA